Molecule: ribosomal RNA, 1342 nt
Filed under: uncultured archaeon
Lineage: Archaea
Description: bacterial SSU rRNA
Rfam family: Archaeal small subunit ribosomal RNA
Source: RNAcentral
GGAGGCCACUGCUAUGGGGGUCCGACUAAGCCAUGCGAGUCAUGGGGCGCCUUGUGCGCACCGGCGGACGGCUCAGUAACACGUCGGUAACCUACCCUCGGGAGGGGGAUAACCCCGGGAAACUGGGGCUAAUCCCCCAUAGGCCUGAGGUACUGGAAGGUCCUCAGGUCGAAAGGGGCUUUGCCCGCCCGAGGAUGGGCCGGCGGCCGAUUAGGUAGUUGGUGGGGUAACGGCCCACCAAGCCGAAGAUCGGUACGGGCCAUGAGAGUGGGAGCCCGGAGAUGGACACUGAGACACGGGUCCAGGCCCUACGGGGCGCAGCAGGCGCGAAACCUCCGCAAUGCGGGCAACCGCGACGGGGGGACCCCCAGUGCCGUGGCAACGCCACGGCUUUUCCGGAGUGUAAAAAGCUCCGGGAAUAAGGGCUGGGCAAGGCCGGUGGCAGCCGCCGCGGUAAUACCGGCGGCCCGAGUGGUGGCCGCUAUUAUUGGGCCUAAAGCGUCCGUAGCCGGGCCUGUAAGUCCCUGGCGAAAUCCCACGGCUCAACCGUGGGGCUUGCUGGGGAUACUGCAGGCCUUGGGACCGGGAGAGGCCGGGGGUACUCCUGGGGUAGGGGUGAAAUCCUAUAAUCCCAGGAGGACCGCCAGUGGCGAAGGCGCCCGGCUGGAACGGGUCCGACGGUGAGGGACGAAGCCAGGGGAGCGAACCGGAUUAGAUACCCGGGUAGUCCUGGCUGUAAAGGAUGCGGGCUAGUGUCGGGCGAGCUCCGAGCUCGCCCGGUGCCGCAGGGAAGCCGUUAAGCCCGCCGCCUGGGGAGUACGGCCGCAAGCUGAAACUUAAAGGAAUUGGCGGGGGAGCACUACAAGGGGUGGAGCGUGCGGUUUAAUUGGAUUCAACGCCGGGAACCUCACCGGGGGCGACGGCAGGAUGAAGGCCAGGCUGAAGGUCUUGCCGGACACGCCGAGAGGAGGUGCAAUGGCCGCCGUCAGCUCGUACCGUGAGGCGUCACUUAAGUGUGGUAACGAGCGAGACCCGCGCCCCCAGUUGCCAGUCCUCCCCGCUGGGAGAGGAGGCACUCUGGGGGGACCGCCGGCGAUAAGCCGGAGGAAGGAGCGGGCGACGGUAGGUCAGUAUGCCCCGAAACCCCCGGGCUACACGCGCGCUACAAUGGGCGGGACAAUGGGAUCCGACCCCGAAAGGGGAAGGGAAUCCCCUAAACCCGCCCCCAGUUCGGAUCGCGGGCUGCAACUCGCCCGCGUGAAGCUGGAAUCCCUAGUACCCGCGUGUCAUCAUCGCGCGGCGAAUACGUCCCUGCUCCUUGCACACACCGCCCGUCACUCCA